GACGAACGCUGGCGGCGUGCUUAACACAUGCAAGUCGAACGGAAAGGCCCUGCUUUUGUGGGGUGCUCGAGUGGCGAACGGGUGAGUAACACGUGAGUAACCUGCCCUUGACUUUGGGAUAACUUCAGGAAACUGGGGCUAAUACCGGAUAGGAGCUCCUGCUGCAUGGUGGGUGUUGGAAAGUUUCGGCGGUUGGGGAUGGACUCGCGGCUUAUCAGCUUGUUGGUGGGGUAGUGGCUUACCAAGGCUUUGACGGGUAGCCGGCCUGAGAGGGUGACCGGCCACAUUGGGACUGAGAUACGGCCCAGACUCCUACGGGAGGCAGCAGUGGGGAAUAUUGCACAAUGGGCGGAAGCCUGAUGCAGCAACGCCGCGUGCGGGGUGACGGCCUUCGGGUUGUAAACCGCUUUCGCCUGUGACGAAGCGUGAGUGACGGUAAUGGGUAAAGAAGCACCGGCUAACUACGUG
This 468-nucleotide ribosomal RNA is filed under the name uncultured bacterium. RNAcentral's name for it is "partial 16S ribosomal RNA". It matches the Rfam family "Bacterial small subunit ribosomal RNA", at positions 28 to 507 of the family's 1533-position model. The record is from RNAcentral.